AUGUGUGGGAGCCAGGCUGAGAUGAUAUGCAGCCCUCUGGAUGCUCCCAGCAGCAUUCCUUCUAAACCCAAACUGAGAUGUGAUUUAGGAGGGCCCUAUAAAACUAGGGAUCAUUGGCCUAAUCGGAGUCAUUCAUCCUGUCUUGAGCUAUCAAGUCCAUGCUCACGGGUUGCAGGGAGUUGGGUGGAGGCGGUUUUCCUGGUAUAUUUUACAAUGACUACUUUGAAAAGAAUCUCAUUUAUGAAGUUAAUGCUCUCUGUAGCAUAUCUGGGUAGAACCCUUUCAAGAAGUAGCAGCUCCACUUAGCAGUUCUGUAGGCUGAGAUUUACUCCAUCCUCAAAGAGGAUGUCACUUCUAAAGCAUGACUCUGAAAUAAAUACCUGCUCACUUGAGUGAGGAGGAAAAUGUCAUGGUCUAAAAGAUGGUUCUGCCUAAUUCUUUCUAAUUCAGGAGCAUUAGAGAACAAGACAGCAUAUGGAUCAAGAGAAAAGCAGGAUGUGAAUAACAAAAAAAGCAAUCCAAGGGAGAAAUAUGAUAAAAUUUGGAUCAUGCUAAAUUCUAUUUAUGCUGAAUGUCUUAUUUCGUUGAAGUCUUAUGUGAAAAUAGCUGUAUUGAAGUGGUGGAAAGCUUGAAUUUUACUCAUGUGAAGGAAAGAUAAUGUUCAUUGGAAAAAUUUUGCAGUAACAGUGAAAGGAGCAUAUAGCAAAGGAGCUUAGAACAAAUGAUAAAAUCUUAGGAGAGGGUACAUCUCCUUUUAGGAACUUUUAGUUUCUUGCUAUAGUUCCUACUGCAAAUAACAACACAGUCUCAUGAUGCAAUAGUUAUUCAAAAGCUAUUUGAAGCAUGUAAAUGAGCGUCUCCUAAGUUUAAAUAAAUUGCCCUGACCUCCCAAAGCAGGCUAAUAUGUCCUGAAGUGACAGUUGUUGCUUUAACACAUUUCAUCACCUCUCAGGAGAGGCCCAGUAUCUGGAUCUUAGCACACUGCCAAGGAUCUUUGUUUCUUGAUCUUUCCUGGUAACUUUUUUUCUCCUAAA
RNAcentral lists this long non-coding RNA (1034 nucleotides) under Capra hircus (goat). RNAcentral's name for it is "lncRNA (ENSCHIG00010029221.1)". The record is from RNAcentral. Lineage: Eukaryota; Metazoa; Chordata; Mammalia; Artiodactyla; Bovidae.